Molecule: ribosomal RNA, 645 nt
Filed under: Hepatozoon canis
Lineage: Eukaryota; Apicomplexa; Hepatozoidae
Description: SSU rRNA
Rfam family: Eukaryotic small subunit ribosomal RNA
Source: RNAcentral
AAAAUCUCAACUUUAUUAGAAGAGACGCAUUUAUUAGAUAAAAAGCCAAUGCAUGCUUUUACAGUAUGAAAAUUGGUGAUUUAUAAUAACUUAGCAAAUCGCAAAGUGAAAACAGGCGAUAAAUCAUUCAAGUUUCUGACCUAUCAGCUUUCGACGGUAUGGUAUUGGCUUACCGUGGCAGUGACGGUUAACGGGGGAUUAGGGUUCGAUUCCGGAGAGGGAGCCUGAGAAACGGCUACCACAUCUAAGGAAGGCAGCAGGCGCGCAAAUUACCCAAUUCUAACAGUUUGAGAGAGGUAGUAACAAGAAAUAACAAUACAAGGCAGUUAAAAUGCUUUGUAAUUGGAAUGAUAGAAAUUUAAACCCUUUUUAAAGUAUCAAUUGGAGGGCAAGUCUGGUGCCAGCAGCCGCGGUAAUUCCAGCUCCAAUAGCGUAUAUUAAAAUUGUUGCAGUUAAAAAGCUCGUAGUUGAAGUUCUGCUAAAAGUAACCGGUCUGCUUUUAAUAAAGGUGGUAUCUUGGUGUGUAUUUAGCAAUGAUGUCCUUUGAAGUGUUUUUUACUUUAUUGUAAUAAAGCAUAUUCAGGACUUUUACUUUGAGAAAAUUAGAGUGUUUCUAGCAGGCUAACGCUUUGAAUACUGCAGCAU